UUGAUCUCAAAUCAGGUAGGACUACCCGCUGAACUUAAGCAUAUCAAUAAGCGA
This 54-nucleotide ribosomal RNA is filed under the name Tomentella sp. Nara 2-01. RNAcentral's name for it is "partial 28S ribosomal RNA". The record is from RNAcentral. Lineage: Eukaryota; Fungi; Basidiomycota; Agaricomycetes; Thelephorales; Thelephoraceae.